This 453-nucleotide ribosomal RNA is filed under the name uncultured Planctomycetota bacterium. Its description in RNAcentral is "bacterial SSU rRNA". It matches the Rfam family "Bacterial small subunit ribosomal RNA", at positions 936 to 1382 of the family's 1533-position model. The record is from RNAcentral. Lineage: Bacteria; Pseudomonadati; Planctomycetota.
AGCAUGUGGUUUAAUUCGAUGCAACGCGAAAAACCUUUACCCACCUUUGGCAUGUACGGAACCCUUUUAGAGAUAGAGGGGUGCUCGAAAGAGAGCCGUAACACAGGUGCUGCAUGGCUGUCGUCAGCUCGUGUCGUGAGAUGUCGGGUUAAGUCCCAUAACGAGCGAAACCCUUGUCCUUAGUUGCUAGCGGGUAAAGCCGAGGACUCUAAGGAGACUGCCGGUGUUAAACCGUGAGGAAGGUGGGGACGACGUCAAGUCAUCAUGGCCUUUAUGUCCAGGGCUACAAACGUGCUACAAUGGCCGGCAUAAAGGGAGGCAAAACCGUGAGGUGGAGCAAAUCUCAAAAAUCCGGCCCCAGUUCGGAUUGGAGGCUGCAAUUCGCCUCCAUGAAGUUGGAAUCGCUAGUAAUCGCGUGUCAGCUACAACGCGGUGAAUGUGUUCCUGAGCCUU